Molecule: long non-coding RNA, 1200 nt
Organism: Carassius auratus (goldfish)
Lineage: Eukaryota; Metazoa; Chordata; Actinopteri; Cypriniformes; Cyprinidae
Exons: 4
Source: RefSeq, a predicted model, not a curated record
CUUGAGGGUUUUGUAUAUAUGCAGUCUAGGUCAAGGUUUUUCCUUUCAGUUCAGCACAUUCAUUUUAGUUUUAGUUUUUAAUAGAAAUCAGUUGACAAUGAACAAGACCUCUGAGCUUUCAUCAGCUGCAUUGAGCAUGUUAUGAAUCAAAUUGACUAUCUCUCAACAGAGAAGAGUCUUCAAGAAGGCAGAAGAUAGAGAGAGGUCAUGAAUUGUGGCUGUGGGAGGAGGAACAGGUCGUGAAGGUGUGUUGCUGAGGGCCCCGUGGACGGAUUGGAGAAAGCAUGGCAGCGACUGUCAAGGGCAGUGUCUGGGAAGAUCGGUAAUGGAUAUUACAAAGGGGAUUGGCUUCUUGGAUUCCUGUAAAGAUGUUCAUCUGUCCAACUGCCUGUCGCUGGGCUCCAGCCAAUCAGUUCGCAAGUCCGGAAAUAAUAAAUGUUGAUCUGUCAUCAGUGGUGAGCAAACGCAUGUAUGCGAAACCUCAUGCCAGUCAUCGAUGUGACAUAUUGUAAACAAAGGACUGGAUCUGAGAUGUUCCUUAACUCACAGACACAGAACACAGGUUACAUCACAUCUGCCUUAAUCCAGAACAAAUAAAGAAAUGCAUUGUAUUUUUUAAUCAUGACAUGCUUUUUUCGUGAAAGCAGUAAAAUAAUUUUAAUGCAAUGCUCAAUUAUAUCACUUAGAUAAAUCAUUGGGAGAUAUGGCAAGUUAAUCAGUUCAAGAACCCUGGUUAUGCGACUGCAAUGUGAGGCAUGUGAAGAAUUGCACCUUCGUUUGGCAUGUGAAGAAAUGUUAAUGAGCAACUAAAUUAGCAUUUCCUGAAAUAAAUACCAGUGCUUGUAAGAGAAUAGUGUUUCAGUUUUAGGUUUGAAUUACCGGUAGGUUUAGGUUUUUUCAGAGACACUUUAAUCUCAAUAUUCAUUUAAAAACUUAGCAGAUGUCACGUAAUGUGAUGUUGCCAUGUCAAAGCAGCUAUAGUGAAAAUAAAUUAAAUCAGUCAGCCAAGUUAAAAACAUUACAACCCCUUGAAAAGACUGUGUAUUCUAUAUUUUUAUUUGUUCAAAAUUUAAUAUGGCAUCUUACCUUAUGUAUAUUUCACACUGGUCUUUGCCUGUGCAAAACAUUGUUAUGGUGUUCUUUUAGUCUGUUGCUAGGGUAUUCUGCAUGGUUGCUAGGUGGUUACUUACUGUGCGUUCA